UAAGCAUAUCAAUAAGCGGAGGAAAAGAAACCAACAGGGAUUGCCCUAGUAACGGCGAGUGAAGCGGCAACAGCUCAAAUUUGAAAUCUGGCUCUUUUAGAGUCCGAGUUGUAAUUUGCAGAGGGCGCUUUGGCUUUGGCAGCGGUCCAAGUUCCUUGGAACAGGACGUCACAGAGGGUGAGAAUCCCGUACGUGGUCGCUAGCUAUUGCCGUGUAAAGCCCCUUCGACGAGUCGAGUUGUUUGGGAAUGCAGCUCUAAAUGGGAGGUAAAUUUCUUCUAAAGCUAAAUACUGGCCAGAGACCGAUAGCGCACAAGUAGAGUGAUCGAAAGAUGAAAAGCACUUUGGAAAGAGAGUCAAACAGCACGUGAAAUUGUUGAAAGGGAAGCGCUUGCAGCCAGACUUGCUUGCAGUUGCUCAUCCGGGCUCUUUUGCCCGGUGCAUUCUUCUGCAGGCAGGCCAGCAUCAGUUUGGGCGGUGGGAUAAAGGUCUCUGUCACGUACCUCUCUUCGGGGAGGCCUUAUAGGGGAGACGACAUACCACCAGCCUGGACUGAGGUCCGCGCAUUUAUGCUAGGAUGCUGGCGUAAUGGCUGUAAGCGGCCCGUCUUGAAACACGGACCAAGGAGUCUAACAUCUAUGCGAGUGUUUGGGUGUCAAGCCCGAACGCGUAAUGAAAGUGAACGGAGGUGGGAACCCGCAAGGGUGCACCAUCGACCGAUCCUGAUGUCUUCGGAAGGAUUUGAGUAAGAGCAUGGCUGUUGGGACCCGAAAGAUGGUGAACUAUGCUUGAAUAGGGUGAAGCCAGAGGAAACUCUGGUGGAGGCUCGCAGCGGUUCUGACGUGCAAAUCGAUCGUCAAAUUUGGGCAUAGGGGCGAAAGACUAAUCGAACUAUCUAGUAGCUGGUUCCUGCCAAU
This 916-nucleotide ribosomal RNA is filed under the name Drechslera avenae. Its description in RNAcentral is "LSU rRNA". It matches the Rfam family "Eukaryotic large subunit ribosomal RNA", at positions 35 to 965 of the family's 3401-position model. The record is from RNAcentral. Lineage: Eukaryota; Fungi; Ascomycota; Dothideomycetes; Pleosporales; Pleosporaceae.